UACAGAGGGGGCAAGCGUUGUUCGGAAUUACUGGGCGUAAAGGGCGCGUAGGCGGCCUGUUAAGUCGAACGUGAAAUCCCCAGGCUUAACCUGGGAACUGCAUCCGAUACUGGAUGGCUUGAAUCCGGGAGAGGGAUGCAGAAUUCCAGGUGUAGCGGUGAAAUGCGUAGAUAUCUGGAGGAACACCGGUGGCGAAGGCGGCAUCCUGGACCAACACUGACGCUGAGGAGCGAAAGCCAGGGGAGCAAACGGG
Molecule: ribosomal RNA, 253 nt
Filed under: uncultured bacterium
Lineage: Bacteria
Description: partial 16S ribosomal RNA
Rfam family: Bacterial small subunit ribosomal RNA
Source: RNAcentral